CUUAAAUUGAAGAGUUUGAUCAUGGCUCAGAUUGAACGCUGGCGGCAGGCCUAACACAUGCAAGUCGAGCGGUAGCACAGAGGAGCUUGCUCCUUGGGUGACGAGCGGCGGACGGGUGAGUAAUGUCUGGGAAACUGCCUGAUGGAGGGGGAUAACUACUGGAAACGGUAGCUAAUACCGCAUAACCUCGCAAGAGCAAAGAGGGGGACCUUAGGGCCUCUCGCCAUCAGAUGUGCCCAGAUGGGAUUAGCUAGUAGGUGAGGUAAUGGCUCACCUAGGCGACGAUCCCUAGCUGGUCUGAGAGGAUGACCAGCCACACUGGAACUGAGACACGGUCCAGACUCCUACGGGAGGCAGCAGUGGGGAAUAUUGCACAAUGGGCGCAAGCCUGAUGCAGCCAUGCCGCGUGUGUGAAGAAGGCCUUCGGGUUGUAAAGCACUUUCAGCGAGGAGGAAGGCGGUAAGGUUAAUAACCUUAUCGAUUGACGUUACUCGCAGAAGAAGCACCGGCUAACUCCGUGCCAGCAGCCGCGGUAAUACGGAGGGUGCAAGCGUUAAUCGGAAUGACUGGGCGUAAAGCGCACGCAGGCGGUCUGUUAAGUUGGAUGUGAAAUCCCCGGGCUUAACCUGGGAACUGCAUUCAAAACUGACAGGCUAGAGUCUUGUAGAGGGGGGUAGAAUUCCAGGUGUAGCGGUGAAAUGCGUAGAGAUCUGGAGGAAUACCGGUGGCGAAGGCGGCCCCCUGGACAAAGACUGACGCUCAGGUGCGAAAGCGUGGGGAGCAAACAGGAUUAGAUACCCUGGUAGUCCACGCUGUAAACGAUGUCGAUUUGGAGGUUGUGCCCUUGAGGCGUGGCUUCCGGAGCUAACGCGUUAAAUCGACCGCCUGGGGAGUACGGCCGCAAGGUUAAAACUCAAAUGAAUUGACGGGGGCCCGCACAAGCGGUGGAGCAUGUGGUUUAAUUCGAUGCAACGCGAAGAACCUUACCUACUCUUGACAUCCACAGAAUUUGGUAGAGAUACCUUAGUGCCUUCGGGAACUGUGAGACAGGUGCUGCAUGGCUGUCGUCAGCUCGUGUUGUGAAAUGUUGGGUUAAGUCCCGCAACGAGCGCAACCCUUAUCCUUUGUUGCCAGCGAUUCGGUCGGGAACUCAAAGGAGACUGCCGGUGAUAAACCGGAGGAAGGUGGGGAUGACGUCAAGUCAUCAUGGCCCUUACGAGUAGGGCUACACACGUGCUACAAUGGCGUAUACAAAGAGAAGCGACCUCGCGAGAGCAAGCGGACCUCAUAAAGUACGUCGUAGUCCGGAUUGGAGUCUGCAACUCGACUCCAUGAAGUCGGAAUCGCUAGUAAUCGUAGAUCAGAAUGCUACGGUGAAUACGUUCCCGGGCCUUGUACACACCGCCCGUCACACCAUGGGAGUGGGUUGCAAAAGAAGUAGGUAGCUUAACCUUCGGGAGGGCGCUUACCACUUUGUGAUUCAUGACUGGGGUGAAGUCGUAACAAGGUAACCGUAGGGGAACCUGCGGUUGGAUCACCUCCUUACCAAGAAG
Molecule: ribosomal RNA, 1553 nt
Filed under: Pectobacterium carotovorum subsp. carotovorum
Lineage: Bacteria; Pseudomonadati; Pseudomonadota; Gammaproteobacteria; Enterobacterales; Pectobacteriaceae
Description: bacterial SSU rRNA
Rfam family: Bacterial small subunit ribosomal RNA
Source: RNAcentral